CCUACGGGAGGCUGCAGUGAGGAAUAUUGGUCAAUGGGCGGGAGCCUGAACCAGCCAAGUCGCGUGAGGGAAGACGGUCCUAUGGAUUGUAAACCUCUUUAGUCGGGGAGCAAUGCCGGGCACGUGUGCCCGGAGGGAGAGUACCCGCAGAAUAAGCACCGGCUAACUCCGUGCCAGCAGCCGCGGUAAUACGGGGGGUGCAAGCGGUACUCGGAAUCACUGGGCGUAAAGAGUGCGUAGGCGGGUUAAUAAAUCAGAUGUGAAAUCCUGUAGCUUAACUACAGAACUGCAUUUGAAACUGGUACUCUGGAGUGUGGGAGAGGUAGGUGGAAUUCGUGGUGUAGGGGUAAAAUGCGUAGAGAUCAAGAAGAAUACUCAUUGCGAAGGCGACCUGCUGGAACAUUACUGACGCUGAUGCACGAAAGCGUGGGUAGCGAACAGGAUUAGAUACCCGAGUAGUC
Molecule: ribosomal RNA, 461 nt
Filed under: uncultured bacterium
Lineage: Bacteria
Description: partial 16S ribosomal RNA
Rfam family: Bacterial small subunit ribosomal RNA
Source: RNAcentral